CCCUUAGAUGUCCUGGGCCGCACGCGCGCUACACUGAGUGUCUGAGAUACGAGUCUGCCUGGUCCGGCAAGGUCUAGGUAAUCGCUAAAAGACACAUCAUGCUUGGGAUAGAUUAUUGCAAAUAUUAAUCUUGAACGAGGAAUUCCUAGUAAGCGCAAGUCAACAGCUUGCGUUGAUUACGUCCCUGCCCUUUGUACACACCGCCCGUCGCACCUACCGAUUGAAUGGUCCGGUGAAGCCUCGGGAUUGUGGCCAGUUCACUUUAUUGGGAGUUGGCUGCGAGAACUUGUCUAAACCUUAUCAUUUAGAGGAAGGUGAAGUCGUAACA
RNAcentral lists this ribosomal RNA (328 nucleotides) under uncultured eukaryote. Its description in RNAcentral is "partial 18S ribosomal RNA". It matches the Rfam family "Eukaryotic small subunit ribosomal RNA", at positions 1470 to 1796 of the family's 1831-position model. The record is from RNAcentral.